Molecule: ribosomal RNA, 511 nt
Filed under: Bacteroidetes bacterium SmG01s
Lineage: Bacteria; Pseudomonadati; Bacteroidota
Description: bacterial SSU rRNA
Rfam family: Bacterial small subunit ribosomal RNA
Source: RNAcentral
CGUGAGUGCUUGCACUUGACGACGACCGGCGCACGGGUGCGUAACGCGUAUAGAACCUACCUUAUAGUAAGGGAUAGCCCAGAGAAAUUUGGAUUAAUACCUUAUAGUAUGAUAAGAUGGCAUCAUUUAAUCAUUAAAGAUUUAUUGCUAUAAGAUGGCUAUGCGUUCUAUUAGCUAGUUGGUAUGGUAACGGCAUACCAAGGCAACGAUAGAUAGGGGUCCUGAGAGGGAGAUCCCCCACACUGGUACUGAGACACGGACCAGACUCCUACGGGAGGCAGCAGUGAGGAAUAUUGGACAAUGGAGGCAACUCUGAUCCAGCCAUGCCGCGUGUAGGAAGACUGCCCUAUGGGUUGUAAACUACUUUUAUAGAGGAAGAAACAGUUCCACGUGUGGAACUCUGACGGUACUCUACGAAUAAGGAUCGGCUAACUCCGUGCCAGCAGCCGCGGUAAUACGGAGGAUCCAAGCGUUAUCCGGAAUCAUUGGGUUUAAAGGGUCCGUAGGCGGG